UACGGGGGGAGCAAGCGUUGUUCGGAUUUACUGGGCGUAAAGGGCGCGUAGGUGGCCAGUGCAAGUCAGUUGUGAAAUCUCCGAGCUUAACUCGGAAAGGUCAACUGAUACUGCUCGGCUAGAGUGCGGAAGGGGCAACUGGAAUUCUUGGUGUAGCGGUGAAAUGCGUAGAUAUCAAGAGGAACGCCUGCGGCGAAGGCGGGUUGCUGGGCCGACACUGACGCUGAAGCGCGAAAGCUAGGGGAGCGAACGGG
Molecule: ribosomal RNA, 254 nt
Filed under: uncultured bacterium
Lineage: Bacteria
Description: partial 16S ribosomal RNA
Rfam family: Bacterial small subunit ribosomal RNA
Source: RNAcentral